This 991-nucleotide ribosomal RNA is filed under the name uncultured bacterium. RNAcentral describes it as "bacterial SSU rRNA". It matches the Rfam family "Bacterial small subunit ribosomal RNA", at positions 8 to 991 of the family's 1533-position model. The record is from RNAcentral.
AGAGUUUGAUCAUGGCUCAGAUUGAACGCUGGCGGUAUGCUUAACACAUGCAAGUCGAACGGUAGCAGGCCUUCGGGCGCUGACGAGUGGCGGACGGGUGAGUAACGCGUAGGAAUCUGCCUCAUAGUGGGGGACAACGUGGGGAAACUCACGCUAAUACCGCAUACGCCCUACGGGGGAAAGCGGGGGCUCUUCGGACCUCGCGCUAUGAGAUGAGCCUGCGUUAGAUUAGCUAGUUGGUGGGGUAAAGGCCUACCAAGGCGACGAUCUAUAGCUGGUCUGAGAGGACGAUCAGCCACACUGGGACUGAGACACGGCCCAGACUCCUACGGGAGGCAGCAGUGGGGAAUAUUGGACAAUGGGCGGAAGCCUGAUCCAGCAAUACCGCGUGUGUGAAGAAGGCCUUAGGGUUGUAAAGCACUUUCAAUUGGGAGGAAAACCUACCGGCCAAUACCCGGUAGCUUGACAUUACCUUUAGAAGAAGCACCGGCUAACUCCGUGCCAGCAGCCGCGGUAAUACGGAGGGUGCGAGCGUUAAUCGGAAUUACUGGGCGUAAAGCGUGCGUAGGCGGUUCGUUAAGUCAGAUGUGAAAGCCCUGGGCUCAACCUGGGAACGGCAUUUGAAACUGGCGGACUAGAGUUUAGUAGAGGGGAGUGGAAUUUCAGGUGUAGCGGUGAAAUGCGUAGAUAUCUGAAGGAACACCAGUGGCGAAGGCGACUCCCUGGACUAGAACUGACGCUGAGGUACGAAAGCGUGGGUAGCAAACAGGAUUAGAUACCCUGGUAGUCCACGCCGUAAACGAUGUCGACUAGCCGUUGGUCCUAUUUACAGGAUUAGUGGCGCAGCUAACGCAUUAAGUCGACCGCCUGGGGAGUACGGCCGCAAGGUUAAAACUCAAAUGAAUUUGACGGGGGCCCGCACAAGCGGGUGGAGCAUGUGGUUUAAUUUCGAUGCAACGCGAAGAACCUUACCUACCUCUUUGACAUCCAG